This is a long non-coding RNA of Magallana angulata, 266 nucleotides long. RefSeq lists it as uncharacterized. The record is from RefSeq and is a predicted model, not a curated record. The transcript has 2 exons. NCBI's taxonomy places the organism in Eukaryota, Metazoa, Mollusca, Bivalvia, Ostreida, Ostreidae.
GAAAGGAGGCCAUCAGAGCCUGUCUACUGCUUGUGUCUCUUUGUCAGUCAAUCUUAUAUUCCUCGAAAAAUCAAGUCCACCCUCUUUACUCAUAAGUCAAGUCAACCGUCCUUCCAAAUAGUAAAGCUAACAAUAUUAUAUAAAAGUCAAGUCCAUCCUCCUAAUUCAUUUAUUAAGUCACAUAUACUUACUCAGUAGUCAAUUCCACCCUCCUUACUCAAUAGUCAAGUCAACCCUCCUUCCAAAUAGUCAAGUUUACCAUGUUA